AUACGUAGGUGGCAAGCGUUGUCCGGAAUUAUUGGGCGUAAAGCGCAUGUAGGCGGUGCCUUAAGUCUGUCGUGAAACUGCGGGGCCUAACCCCGUAUGGCGAUGGAAACUGUGGCACUUGAGUGCAGGAGAGGAAAGGGGAACUCCCAGGGUAGCGGUGAAAUGCGUAGAUAUUGGGAAGAACACCGGUGGCGAAGGCGCCGUUCUGGACUGUGUCUGCCGCUGGGAUGCGAAAGCCAGGGUAGCGAACGGGAUUAGAUACCCCGGUAGUCCUGGCCGUAAACGAUGGGUACUAGGUGUGGGAGGUAUCGACCCCUUCCGUGCCGGAGUUAACGCAAUAAGUACCCCGCCUGGGGAGUACGGCCGCAAGGCUUAAACUCAAAUGAAUUGACGGGG
This 396-nucleotide ribosomal RNA is filed under the name uncultured bacterium. RNAcentral's name for it is "partial 16S ribosomal RNA". It matches the Rfam family "Bacterial small subunit ribosomal RNA", at positions 523 to 918 of the family's 1533-position model. The record is from RNAcentral.